This is a non-coding RNA of Dama dama (fallow deer), 73 nucleotides long. Lineage: Eukaryota; Metazoa; Chordata; Mammalia; Artiodactyla; Cervidae. The record is from the annotation of a RefSeq genome assembly.
UCCUUGAUGGUCCAGGGGUUAAGACCCUAUGCUUCCAAUGCAGGGGGCCCAGGUUCAAUCCCUGGUCAGGGAA